AAGAAGCACCGGCUAACUCUGUGCCAGCAGCCGCGGUAAUACAGAGGGUGCAAGCGUUAAUCGGAAUUACUGGGCGUAAAGGGCGCGUAGGUGGUUGGAUAAGUCGGAUGUGAAAUCCCCGGGCUCAACCUGGGAACUGCAUUCGAAACUGUCUGACUAGAGUUUGGUAGAGGGAAGUGGAAUUCCACAUGUAGCGGUGAAAUGCGUAGAUAUGUGGAGGAACAUCAGUGGCGAAGGCGGCUUCCUGGACUAAAACUGACACUGAGGCGCGAAAGCGUGGGGAGCAAACAGGAUUAGAUACCCUGGUAGUCCACGCUGUAAACGAUGAGAACUAGACGUUGGAAGGUUUAACCUUUUAGUGUCGCAGCUAACGCACUAAGUU
RNAcentral lists this ribosomal RNA (382 nucleotides) under uncultured bacterium. RNAcentral's name for it is "bacterial SSU rRNA". It matches the Rfam family "Bacterial small subunit ribosomal RNA", at positions 485 to 866 of the family's 1533-position model. The record is from RNAcentral.